UGUGUCACAGAUCGACCCAAUUCGUGGG
RNAcentral lists this non-coding RNA (28 nucleotides) under Homo sapiens (human). Lineage: Eukaryota; Metazoa; Chordata; Mammalia; Primates; Hominidae. The record is from RNAcentral.